Heterocephalus glaber (naked mole-rat) is the source of this 332-nucleotide long non-coding RNA. The record is from Ensembl. NCBI's taxonomy places the organism in Eukaryota, Metazoa, Chordata, Mammalia, Rodentia, Bathyergidae.
AAAUCUUUCUCAGCUCUGUCUAUAGGCAUGUUAGUCAUUCAGAGAAUGUCUGUCUAAAAGUUGGCAAAGCAAAGUUUAUUAGCUCUAAAAUUAACCUGUCUCAUUACCAUUCAAGGCAGAGGACACCAGGAUAAGGGUUCCUCCCCUAGGAACCGAAUUGCUCACAAGUUAGAAGGAUUCAACCUGAACUACAAAAGAAGCCAAGGAUGUUUGAGGAGCCACAGAACCUUCCCUGUCCGGUGUGGAGAGAGAGCUGAGAGUGAGAAGAGGAUCAGCAGGGUCUUGCUAUGUGGUUCAGGCUGGCCUUCAACUCACUAUGUAGCACAGGCUGG